This 254-nucleotide ribosomal RNA is filed under the name uncultured bacterium. RNAcentral's name for it is "partial 16S ribosomal RNA". It matches the Rfam family "Bacterial small subunit ribosomal RNA", at positions 524 to 777 of the family's 1533-position model. The record is from RNAcentral.
UACGAAGGGUGCAAACGUUGCUCGGAAUCAUUGGGCGUAAAGCGCACGUAGGCGGCCUGAUAAGUCGGAUGUGAAAUCCCACAGCUUAACUGUGGACGUGCAUUCGAAACUGCCAGGCUCGAGUAUGGAAGAGGGUCGCAGAAUUCCCGGUGUAGAGGUGAAAUUCGUAGAUAUCGGGAGGAAUACCAGUGGCGAAGGCGGGUCUCUGGACAGUUCCUGACACUGAGGCACGAAGGCCAGGGGAGCAAACGGGG